GGAGGACAGGCUAAGAGGGAUGACUGUUUUAAUAGCACUUUAUGACUCCUCAAGAUGGACUGGAAACAUCACCACAAGGAGAAAAAAGGUCUCCCCAAAGAUGAAGUCACUUAGGACCACCACAUUUAAUUGCUUGCUUGGAAAUUAAAAGUUACCGCUAAUUCAAAAGGAACUAAAAAAAAGUCCCAAAGCUUAAUGACUGCCAUUAGUACCUCCAAAGGAAGUUGCUGCUUUCUUUUUCCAUGUAUAGGAUAGCUUACUGCAUCUCUAUGGCCAUCAGAUUGUCAAUGACCAUGACAAGACUUCCAGUUUUUUCAGCUGGGAAGACUUAAAGAAACUGUGAUGGGACAGCCAUCCCUCAUAUUCCUGUGAAGAACAGACAUAAAAGAAGGUUUUUAUUCAUUUUCUGUGCCUUGCAUUGUUUAGCCAGUCACCUGAUGUUUCUGUCAUGUUGCAAAUCUGGAAAAUUACUCUUUGCUGAAAUGUUU
RNAcentral lists this long non-coding RNA (488 nucleotides) under Callithrix jacchus (white-tufted-ear marmoset). RNAcentral's name for it is "lncRNA (ENSCJAG00000084290.1)". Lineage: Eukaryota; Metazoa; Chordata; Mammalia; Primates; Cebidae. The record is from RNAcentral.